This 1380-nucleotide ribosomal RNA is filed under the name Triticum aestivum (bread wheat). RNAcentral describes it as "partial small subunit ribosomal RNA". Lineage: Eukaryota; Viridiplantae; Streptophyta; Magnoliopsida; Poales; Poaceae. The record is from RNAcentral.
AUGGCUUCCCGUUACCUCAUCCUGGUAGUCAGCAUCGCCAUUCUCUUCCCCGGCGACGCUGCGGGCAUCCACGAGCCAGACGCGGCCGCUGUGGCUCCUUCCUGUGACGGGGAGGAGGCUGGAUUCUCUUUCCCCGUCAUUCACUGGAAGAGCAUGGCAGAGGUCGUGGAGGAGGAGAUGGAGUUGGCGGCCACUGCCACCGCGGCCGCGGCCGCCAUGGAGGAGGAGAAGUUUGUGGUGCCGUUUCGGCACCGCCGGAAGUUUUCCAUGUAUCUGGUGCAGCUCCGCAUUGGCGGCGGACCACCAGAUGAAGCGCGUUCCAGAUAUGUAUUGUUCGACACCGGCGACGACCUGUCAUGGACGCAGUGCGUUCCGUGCAAAAACUGCACCAGGAGCUACUACCUUCCGUUCAACCCAGUCAAGUCAAGCACCUACCAUCACCUUCCCUGCGAAGACCCGAUGUGCGAGCACGGGAGGAUCACAAGGUGCCAGUCCAGCCACACCUACCCCACUCCGGACAACAGUUUGUGCAAGUUCGACAAUCGGUACGGCGAUGGUAGCAAGGUGUCAGGCUACCUGGGAUCUGACGUCUUCCGCUUUGGGAACGGCAUGGCGGGGGACGACGGCGGCUACAACUUCGAGCAAGACAUCGUCUUUGGCUGCGCGCAGGAGGAACGUACCACCGCCGUCCGGGAAUACAGCUCCGGCAUUCUCGGCCUCGGCAUGGGUACGUUCUCCUUCAUCGCUCAGGCCGGCGUCGACAAAUUUUCCUACUGCGCUCUAUCGCCGGAGAGAAGAGACCUCCGGGAUCAGUGGAGGAAAACAACAAGCUACCUCCGAUUCGGCAGCCAUGCUGUCACGUCGGGCAAGAUUGUCCCGUUCAAGCAGGACGGCGCCCACUUCAUCAUCUCCCUCAAGAGCGUGACGUACCAGCGAGGAAGCCGUCUAGAUCAAAAUCAGCCAGUGCCCAUAUUUACUCGGCAAGAGGUGGCGGAGUUCCUGCCCAUUCUGGUGGAUUCAGGGUCCGCCCUGGUCUACCUUCCUGGACUCAUCUUCGACCCUCUGCUGAAGAGGAUCGACGAUGAACUCACACUCACAAGGGUGUACGAUCCCACUAAUAACCGCGCCAUCAACUGUUACGAUGGUGAGAUGUCGGAUGUGGAGGGUGUGUCGGUGACCCUGGGCUUCCAAGGAGGGGCGGAGCUGGAGUUGUUUGGCGACACACUCUUCUACGAAGGGUACGCAGGUGAUUACAUUUGUCUGGGAAUUUCUAUCGAUGACAGGAAAUCAGUGUUAGGCAUGAUUGCUCAACGUAAUACCAAUGUUGGGUAUGAUUUAGCAAACAUGGAGAUCUCAUUUAAUCGUGAGGUAUGUGCCUGA